This 143-nucleotide transfer-messenger RNA is filed under the name Escherichia sp. RNAcentral describes it as "partial transfer-messenger RNA". It matches the Rfam family "transfer-messenger RNA", at positions 1 to 148 of the family's 374-position model. Rfam says of the family: Bacterial tmRNA, also known as 10Sa RNA or SsrA, is named for its dual tRNA and mRNA-like properties. Lineage: Bacteria; Pseudomonadati; Pseudomonadota; Gammaproteobacteria; Enterobacterales; Enterobacteriaceae. The record is from RNAcentral.
GGGGCUGAUUCUGGAUUCGACGGGAUUUGCGAAACCCAAGGUGCAUGCCGAGGGGCGGUUGGCCUCGUAAAAAGCCGCAAAAAAUAGUCGCAAACGACGAAAACUACGCUUUAGCAGCUUAAUAACCUGCUUAGAGCCCUCUC